This 1320-nucleotide ribosomal RNA is filed under the name metagenome. RNAcentral's name for it is "bacterial SSU rRNA". It matches the Rfam family "Bacterial small subunit ribosomal RNA", at positions 85 to 1440 of the family's 1533-position model. The record is from RNAcentral.
CUUCGGGUUAGUGGCGGACGGGUGAGUAACGCGUGGGAAUCUGCCCUCAGGAGGGGGACAACGGCUGGAAACGGCCGCUAAUACCCCAUAUGCCGAGAGGUGAAAUGAAUUUCGCCUGAGGAUGAGCCCGCGUUUGAUUAGCUAGUUGGUGUGGUAAUGGCUCACCAAGGCUUCGAUCAGUAGCUGGUCUGAGAGGAUGAUCAGCCACACUGGGACUGAGACACGGCCCAGACUCCUACGGGAGGCAGCAGUGGGGAAUUUUCCGCAAUGGGCGAAAGCCUGACGGAGCAACGCCGCGUGAGGGAUGAAGGCCUCUGGGCUGUAAACCUCUUUUUUCAAGGAAGAAGACCUGACGGUACCUGAAGAAUAAGCCACGGCUAAUUCCGUGCCAGCAGCCGCGGUAACACGGGAGUGGCAAGCGUUAUCCGGAAUUAUUGGGCGUAAAGCGUCCGCAGGCGGCCCUGAAAGUCUGUCGUUAAAGCGUGGAGCUCAACUCCAUUUAAGCGAUGGAAACUACAGGGCUAGAGUGUGGUAGGGGCAGAGGGAAUUCCCGGUGUAGCGGUGAAAUGCGUAGAUAUCGGGAAGAACACCAGUGGCGAAGGCGCUCUGCUGGGCCAUAACUGACGCUCAUGGACGAAAGCCAGGGGAGCGAAAGGGAUUAGAUACCCCUGUAGUCCUGGCCGUAAACGAUGAACACUAGGUGUCGGGGGAAUCGACCCCCUCGGUGUCGUAGCCAACGCGUUAAGUGUUCCGCCUGGGGAGUACGCACGCAAGUGUGAAACUCAAAGGAAUUGACGGGGGCCCGCACAAGCGGUGGAGUAUGUGGUUUAAUUCGAUGCAACGCGAAGAACCUUACCAGGGUUUGACAUCCUGCGAAUCCCUUGGAAACGAGGGAGUGCCUUCGGGAGCGCAGAGACAGGUGGUGCAUGGCUGUCGUCAGCUCGUGUCGUGAGAUGUUGGGUUAAGUCCCGCAACGAGCGCAACCCACGUCGUUAGUUGCCAGCAUUCAGUUGGGCACUCUAGCGAGACCGCCGGUGAUAAACCGGAGGAAGGUGUGGAUGACGUCAAGUCAUCAUGCCCCUUACAUCCUGGGCUACACACGUACUACAAUGCUACGGACAAAGGGCAGCAAGCUCGCGAGAGUUAGCAAAUCCCAUAAACCGUGGCUCAGUUCAGAUCGUAGGCUGCAACUCGCCUACGUGAAGGAGGAAUCGCUAGUAAUCGCAGGUCAGCAUACUGCGGUGAAUACGUUCCCGGGCCUUGUACACACCGCCCGUCACACCAUGGAAGUUGGCCACGCCCGAAGUCGUUACUCCAACC